RNAcentral lists this ribosomal RNA (1387 nucleotides) under Escherichia coli. RNAcentral describes it as "partial 23S ribosomal RNA". It matches the Rfam family "Bacterial large subunit ribosomal RNA", at positions 1 to 1428 of the family's 2925-position model. The record is from RNAcentral. Lineage: Bacteria; Pseudomonadati; Pseudomonadota; Gammaproteobacteria; Enterobacterales; Enterobacteriaceae.
GUUAAGCGACUAAGCGUACACGGUGGAUGCCCUGGCAGUCAGAGGCGAUGAAGGACGUGCUAAUCUGCGAUAAGCGUCGGUAAGGUGAUAUGAACCGUUAUAACCGGCGAUUUCCGAAUGGGGAAACCCAGUGUGUUUCGACACACUAUCAUUAACUGAAUCCAUAGGUUAAUGAGGCGAACCGGGGGAACUGAAACAUCUAAGUACCCCGAGGAAAAGAAAUCAACCGAGAUUCCCCCAGUAGCGGCGAGCGAACGGGGAGCAGCCCAGAGCCUGAAUCAGUAUGUGUGUUAGUGGAAGCGUCUGGAAAGGCGCGCGAUACAGGGUGACAGCCCCGUACACAAAAAUGCACAUGCUGUGAGCUCGAUGAGUAGGGCGGGACACGUGGUAUCCUGUCUGAAUAUGGGGGGACCAUCCUCCAAGGCUAAAUACUCCUGACUGACCGAUAGUGAACCAGUACCGUGAGGGAAAGGCGAAAAGAACCCCGGCGAGGGGAGUGAAAAAGAACCUGAAACCGUGUACGUACAAGCAGUGGGAGCACGCUUAGGCGUGUGACUGCGUACCUUUUGUAUAAUGGGUCAGCGACUUAUAUUCUGUAGCAAGGUUAACCGAAUAGGGGAGCCGAAGGGAAACCGAGUCUUAACUGGGCGUUAAGUUGCAGGGUAUAGACCCGAAACCCGGUGAUCUAGCCAUGGGCAGGUUGAAGGUUGGGUAACACUAACUGGAGGACCGAACCGACUAAUGUUGAAAAAUUAGCGGAUGACUUGUGGCUGGGGGUGAAAGGCCAAUCAAACCGGGAGAUAGCUGGUUCUCCCCGAAAGCUAUUUAGGUAGCGCCUCGUGAAUUCAUCUCCGGGGGUAGAGCACUGUUUCGGCAAGGGGGUCAUCCCGACUUACCAACCCGAUGCAAACUGCGAAUACCGGAGAAUGUUAUCACGGGAGACACACGGCGGGUGCUAACGUCCGUCGUGAAGAGGGAAACAACCCAGACCGCCAGCUAAGGUCCCAAAGUCAUGGUUAAGUGGGAAACGAUGUGGGAAGGCCCAGACAGCCAGGAUGUUGGCUUAGAAGCAGCCAUCAUUUAAAGAAAGCGUAAUAGCUCACUGGUCGAGUCGGCCUGCGCGGAAGAUGUAACGGGGCUAAACCAUGCACCGAAGCUGCGGCAGCGACGCUGAUGCGUUGUUGGGUAGGGGAGCGUUCUGUAAGCCUGCGAAGGUGUGCUGUGAGGCAUGCUGGAGGUAUCAGAAGUGCGAAUGCUGACAUAAGUAACGAUAAAGCGGGUGAAAAGCCCGCUCGCCGGAAGACCAAGGGUUCCUGUCCAACGUUAAUCGGGGCAGGGUGAGUCGACCCCUAAGGCGAGGCCGAAAGGCGUAGUCGAUGGGAAACAG